CAUGUUUAUUGGCGUUGCCUAGCGUCUGCGUCGGACAACUCUCCUACGUCGGUGGACAUGGGAGGACCUGUGAGUCCUCCUGCGUCUGCGAGCGGGAGCGAGCGGCGUGUCUGCGUUGCGAGAUCGGUAGAGCA
This is a long non-coding RNA of Etheostoma spectabile (orangethroat darter), 134 nucleotides long. RefSeq lists it as uncharacterized. Lineage: Eukaryota; Metazoa; Chordata; Actinopteri; Perciformes; Percidae. The transcript has 3 exons. The record is from RefSeq and is a predicted model, not a curated record.